CCCUCCCCCGCCGAAAGCCAGUACUCCUCCGACCUACACCCCGAGCCCCAAGCCUCCGGCGACCAAGCCGCCUACCUACCCGACCCCCAAGCCACCAGCUACCAAGCCUCCGACACCUCCUGUGUACACUCCGAGCCCCAAACCACCGGUUACAAAGCCUCCUACACCCAAGCCGACCCCGCCGGUGUACACGCCGAACCCCAAGCCACCGGUUACCAAGCCUCCGACACACACGCCGAGCCCCAAGCCUCCGACAUCCAAGCCGACUCCGCCGGUGUACACACCGAGCCCCAAGCCACCGAAGCCGUCCCCGCCGACGUACACGCCGACCCCGAAGCCACCGGCUACCAAGCCGCCCACCUCAACUCCGACGCACCCUAAGCCGACGCCGCACACGCCUAUCCCCAAGCCCACGCCGCCAACCUACAAGCCGGCACCGAAGCCGACGCCGCCGGCGCCCACCCCGCCGACAUACACGCCGCCGGUGUCGCACACCCCCAGCUCGCCGCCGCCGCCGCCGCCGCCGCCUUACUACUAGACGAAGAAGUGAUGAGGUCUCCCACUCUGCUGUCAGUCUCGGAGCAUUUAGGUACGUGCUACAAGAAUGGAGCAUGCACAUACAUACAUACAUACAUACAUUUUCUAUAUAUGCUUGUGUCAAAUGUAUCAUACUGUACUCACUAACAAUCGGUUCCGUUUUUUUGUGUUGCAGAAGGUGAUCGAUCGAAGAGUUUGUGUCCUAGCCAGCCGGCCAAGAUGAGCUGCUGAU
RNAcentral lists this long non-coding RNA (769 nucleotides) under Sorghum bicolor (sorghum). RNAcentral's name for it is "long non-coding RNA (SBIC_LNC011143)". The record is from RNAcentral. Lineage: Eukaryota; Viridiplantae; Streptophyta; Magnoliopsida; Poales; Poaceae.